UACGUAGGGGGCAAGCGUUGUCCGGAUUUACUGGGCGUAAAGAGCGCGCAGGCGGUCGUUCAAGUCGCGUGUGAAAGCCCCCGGCUCAACUGGGGAGGGUCACUCGAUACUGAUCGACUUGAAGGCAGGAGAGGGAAGCGGAAUUCCCGGUGUAGUGGUGAAAUGCGUAGAUAUCGGGAGGAACACCAGUGGCGAAGGCGGCUUCCUGGCCUGUUCUUGACGCUGAGGCGCGAAAGCUAGGGGAGCAAACGGG
This 253-nucleotide ribosomal RNA is filed under the name uncultured bacterium. Its description in RNAcentral is "partial 16S ribosomal RNA". It matches the Rfam family "Bacterial small subunit ribosomal RNA", at positions 524 to 776 of the family's 1533-position model. The record is from RNAcentral.